Jatropha curcas is the source of this 186-nucleotide non-coding RNA. Lineage: Eukaryota; Viridiplantae; Streptophyta; Magnoliopsida; Malpighiales; Euphorbiaceae. The record is from RefSeq and is a predicted model, not a curated record.
ACAUCCAAAGAUGAGAAUAUUAAUGUUGAGUCUGUAUCUUAUUUCCAUUUUUAUCUCUACUUAUGUGAAUUGUUUCAUUUGUGAAUUGUGAGCUUAUACUUAUCUAUUUGUUUAUUUUCUCUGAUGUCAGCUAACAUGUCAUUUAAUCCUGAUUGUGUCCCUAAACUUAAGGGAUCAAAUUUUGUG